Molecule: ribosomal RNA, 726 nt
Filed under: uncultured bacterium
Lineage: Bacteria
Description: bacterial SSU rRNA
Rfam family: Bacterial small subunit ribosomal RNA
Source: RNAcentral
UGCCGGCGACCGGCGCAAGGGUGCGUAACGCGUGAGCAACAUGCCCGUCUCAGGGGGAUAACCGGUGGAAACGCCGCCUAAUACCCCAUGGCGAUAUAUUGAGGCAUCUUGAUAUAUCUAAAGCUCCGGCGGAGACGGAUUGGCUCGCGUGACAUUAGCUGGACGGCGGGGUAACGGCCCACCGUGGCUACGAUGUCUAGGGGUUCUGAGAGGAAGGUCCCCCACACUGGAACUGAGACACGGUCCAGACUCCUACGGGAGGCAGCAGUGAGGAAUAUUGGUCAAUGGGCGGGAGCCUGAACCAGCCAUGCCGCGUGAAGGCGAGUGCCCUACGGGCGUUAAACUUCUUUUGUGCGGGAGCAAUAAGGGCCACGCGUGGCCCGAUGAGAGUACCGCACGAAUAAGCAUCGGCUAACUCCGUGCCAGCAGCCGCGGUAAUACGGAGGAUGCGAGCGUUAUCCGGAUUUAUUGGGUUUAAAGGGUGCGUAGGCGGAUCGUUAAGUCAGUGGUCAAAUUGAGGGGCUCAACCCCUUCCCGCCAUUGAAACUGGCGAUCUUGAGUGGAAGAGAAGUAUGCGGAAUGCGUGGUGUAGCGGUGAAAUGCAUAGAUAUCACGCAGAACCCCGAUUGCGAAGGCAGCAUGCCGGCUUCCUACUGACGCUGAAGCACGAAAGCGUGGGGAUCGAACAGGAUUAGAUACCCUGGUAGUCCACGCGGUAAACGAUGA